Molecule: ribosomal RNA, 304 nt
Filed under: uncultured bacterium
Lineage: Bacteria
Description: partial 16S ribosomal RNA
Rfam family: Bacterial small subunit ribosomal RNA
Source: RNAcentral
CAGCAGCAGCCACGGUAAUACGAAGGGUGCAAGCGUUACUCGGAAUCACUGGGCGUAAAGCGUGCGUAGGUGGUGGUUUAAGUCCGUUGUGAAAGCCCUGGGCUCAACCUGGGAAUUGCAGUGGAUACUGGGUCACUAGAGUGUGGUAGAGGAUAGUGGAAUUUCCGGUGUAGCAGUGAAAUGCGUAGAGAUCGGAAGGAACAUCUGUGGCGAAGGCGACUAUCUGGGCCAACACUGACACUGAGGCACGAAAGCGUGGGGAGCAAACAGGAUUAGAUACCCCAGUAGUCCCUGUCUCUUAUAC